UGGAUAAGGUGGCGCAUGGGAUUAGUUGCUCAUUCAAAUUCAAACAUCAUUUGAAUUUGAAUGGCCAACUAAUCAAUCUUUAUCCACUCAAAUAGCGCACAAGGGAGGAGCGUGGGAAGGCUUCUACAUGGAAGAAAAUUCAUGAGAAUUUAUUUCUCAUGAAUUCAAAUAGGCGCAGGUGGGUGAGGUGGCGCAGGGAGAUAAGUC
Molecule: long non-coding RNA, 207 nt
Filed under: Elaeis guineensis (African oil palm)
Lineage: Eukaryota; Viridiplantae; Streptophyta; Magnoliopsida; Arecales; Arecaceae
Description: long non-coding RNA (EGUI_LNC058131)
Source: RNAcentral